RNAcentral lists this unclassified non-coding RNA (432 nucleotides) under soil metagenome. RNAcentral's name for it is "partial contains 5.8S ribosomal RNA, internal transcribed spacer 2, and large subunit ribosomal RNA". The stretch from base 4 to 119 matches the Rfam family "5.8S ribosomal RNA", at positions 39 to 154 of the family's 154-position model. The record is from RNAcentral.
GAUAAGAACGCAGCGAAAUGCGAUACGUAAUGUGAAUUGCAGAAUUCAGUGAAUCAUCGAAUCUUUGAACGCAUAUUGCGCUCUCUGGUAUUCCGGAGAGCAUGCUUGUUUGAGUAUCAGUAAACACCUCAACUUCCAUAUCUUUUUUUGAAAUGGGAGUUGGACUUGAGUGAUCCCAACGCUUUUCCUCACCGCAAAGUGGCGGGUUACUUGAAAUGCAGGUGCAGCUGGACUUUUCUCUGAGCUAUAAGCAUAUCUAUUUAGUCUGCCUAAAAAACAGAUUAUUACCUUUGCUGCAGCUAACAUAAAGGAGAUUAGUUCUUGUGCUGACUGAUGCAGGAUUCACAAAGACAGCUUCGGCCGACUUUGUAAACUCGAUCUCAAAUCAAGUAAGACUACCCGCUGAACUUAAGCAUAUCAAUAAGCGGAGGA